Long non-coding RNA from Hemicordylus capensis (graceful crag lizard), 1796 nucleotides. RefSeq lists it as uncharacterized. NCBI's taxonomy places the organism in Eukaryota, Metazoa, Chordata, Lepidosauria, Squamata, Cordylidae. The transcript is spliced from 3 exons. The record is from RefSeq and is a predicted model, not a curated record.
GGUCUAGUACAACCAGAACGGAGGGAAACAGAAGUCCAAUGAUUUAUGACCCAAUUAAAUCCUCCAGUUAUCAGAAACAGCUAGAAUCUUAAAUUGUAAACCACGUUUUCAGUUGAAUAGAGUAACUUUAUAAUCUUUCAAUGUUUACAAUUAGGCUGAGACAAAACCUCACAGCUUCACAAAUCCAUUCUCUGAUUCAAUAAUCGUCCUUUUCAUCACAGUUCCACAAUCCAAGAAGAAUGGUGAAGGUAUAAACAUAUCUUUGCAAGUCAAAGCAAAAGGCAAAGCAUUUGAUCAUGUGGAAGGAUCUCUUUCCUGUGUUGAAAGCUUUUAAUAUUUAAGGCCAUGCGUGGGGAUGUGGUAGAAAGGAGGCGAUUAGCUGACGGAGGAGGUGGCGGCGACUGGCUGACAGCGCACGAGAGUUUGGAAAGCAAGAAGGCAGCAGCCAGAGAGGAGUGUGGGCAGCAGCUUUGGAAAGCCAGGGAGUUUGCCGGCUGGGGUUGUGAAGCAGGGAGUUUGGGGACUGGGGACGGAGUUUGUGGAAGGCUGCAACAUAAAGCCCCUGGUGGCGCAGUGGUAAAACUGCCGCCCUGUAACCAGAAGGUUACAAGUUCGAUCCUGACCAGGGGCUCAAGGUAGACUCAGCCUUCCAUCCUUCCGAGGUCGGUAAAAUGAGUACCCAGAAUGUUGGGGGCAAUAUGCUAAAUCAUUGUAAACCGCUUAGAGAGCUCCGGCUAUAAAGCGGUAUAUAAUUGUAAGUGCUAUUGCUAAAGCGCCAGGGAAUUUGGCAGAAGGGGGCGGAUGGUGGUUCGCCGCCUCCAAAUGCGCCAGGGAACUUGAGUCCGCCUCAAAACGUGCGAAGGAGCUUGAGGGUGCUGCAGAAAGCAGUUGGGUAGCAGGGAGGCCGUUGUUAGUGCCCGCCUGCCACACUCGCCAUUGGGAGUUUGCCGGCUGGAGUCAGUUGCAUGAAGGCGGUGCAGAAAGUGGAGGGGCGGCAGAGAGGCUGUUGUUACUGCCCCCCCACCACACCUGCCAUCGGGAGGGAGCUUACUGGCUGGGGUCCUGAAGCAGGGAGUUCAGGGACUGGGAACAGAAGGGGUUUGUGGUGGGCUGCUACAUAAAGUGCCAGGGAAUUGGACGGAAGUGGGCAGGUGGCAGUUCACUACUUCAAAACAUGCCAAGGAGCUUGAGGCUGGCACGAAGGUGCUGCAGAAAGUGGUUGGGCAGCAGGGAGGCCAUUGUUUGUGCCAGCCUGCCACACCCGCUGUCGGGAGAGAAAUAAUGGCGGUGGCAAGGAGGUGGGCAGACAGCGGGUGAAGCCCCACCGACCGGGAGGAGGAGGUGGAAGGCAGCGGUAGGACAGGAGGCAGCGGUGGGGAGAAAUAAUGGUGGCAGCGAGGAGGAGGGCGGCCAGCAGGCAGGCAAAGCCCCACUGGCCAGGAAGAGGAGGUGGCGGUGGGACAGCCCAGCCCAACUAGAGGCGCAGAUGCUCUGCGCCUGGGCCCACUAGUUUAUUAUUAACUUGGCUCAAGUACAGUUACAAUUAAGUGCACCUAUUUGACUUCUAGUUUAUGUGAUUAGGCAUGAAAGAUUCUACAGCAAUUUACACAUUAAAGAUACUUUUACAUUGGGACAAGUUAAAUUGUCACAGAUGUCAGCAUUUAAAUCAGCAGGAUUCAUUCUAUGAGAAAUGAUAGCUACAAAGACAGGAUGGGAAAGCCUUUUUGGUUUCAAUAUUUAGAAAUUAGAUACUUUGUUCUACAAGAUUUGAAGGUCAUUAGGCACUUAGGCACAAA